RNAcentral lists this long non-coding RNA (2355 nucleotides) under Podarcis lilfordi (Lilford's wall lizard). Lineage: Eukaryota; Metazoa; Chordata; Lepidosauria; Squamata; Lacertidae. The record is from RNAcentral.
GAAGGAGACCAAGUCCAGUGAGGAAUGGUUGAGAGAGUUGGGGACGAUCAAGAGGUGAUAUGAUUUGUUGUUGUUUAGUCGUUUAGUCAUGUCUGACUCUUUGUGACCCCAUGGACCAGAGCACGCCAGGCCCUCCUGUCUUCCACUGCCUCCCGCAGUUUGGUCAAACUCAUGCUGGUAGCAUUGAGAACACUGUCCAACCAUCUCGUCCUGUCGUCCCCUUCUCCUUGUGCCCUCCAUCUUUCCCAACAUCAGGGUCUUUUCCAGGGAGUCUUCUCUUCUCAUGAGGUGGCCAAAGUAUUGGAGCCUCAGCUUCACGAUCUGUCCUUCCAGUGAGCACUCAGGGCUGAUUUCCUUCAGAAUGGAGAGGUUUGAACUUCUUGCAGUCCAUGGGACUCUCAAGAGUCUCCUCCAGCACCAUAAUUCAAAAGCAUCAAUUCUUCGGCAAUCAGCCUUCUUUAUGGUCCAGCUCUCACUUCCAUACAUCACUACUGGGAAAGCCAUAGCUUUAACUAUACGAUAGCCAUCUUCAAAUAUCUGUCGCAUAGAUGAUGAAGCACAUUUGUUUUCCAGGGCAGGCAGAAAACAAUGAGUUCAAAUUAUAGGAAAUGGGAUUUCAGCAUUGGGAAGAGGUCCUUGCUGGUAACGAGCUUUUGACAGUGAAGACAACUGCAUGAGAAGGUGGUUGGCGCUCCUUCAUUAAAAGAUUUAAGCAGAGCCUGGAUAGCCUCCUAUCAAAGAUGCUGUCACAGUGAAUAUCCUGCAUCAGCAGGGCAUUGGACUAUAUGAUAUUUGACUAAAUGAUAUUCCAACUCUGUAAUUAUAUGAACUUAAUGGGACAACUUUUGAGAAAACAUGCUUUAUUGCAUGUUUUUGGUUUCCGUCAUGGCCAAUUUUGCAUGCUUUAGAUGUAAACUGUAUUGAAAGUAGAACUGCAUACAAUCCCAGUAGUUUAGCUUAGCUUAGUUUAGAGAAAAAGUGAGUAAAAGGUGACAAGAUAAAAAUUUGUAAAAUCCUGAGCUGGCAAGGAGAAAGUGAAUGCACAACAAAAAGGAUGUCUGGAGGGGCUUGAAAAAGGCUCUUGAGAGCUCCCAAAUAUUGGGAACUGAGCUGGGAAUAUGCAGCAAGAGGUUCCAUGCAUCCUAACCAGGACAGGUCCUCAUUUUAUGUAAAAUUCAGAAAGGGCCCUGGAAUAAUAUAGUUUUUAUUUUUUCAAGCCCUGUUGGUAUAUUAUGAACCUGACUCAUUUCUUUCAGUGGUUUUGCAGCUGUUCUAACUAUAAUUACUGUCAAAACGGGGAAGUAUACCUUGUAAUUUUUUUCUUUUUCAGUGGUUCAUGGUUAUGCUGGAAUGCAAAGCAAAUGGCUGUGCUGUAGACUUAGUUGAUAUUUCAAAUUAAUGAAUAUUCAUGUUGAAUAUUCGUGUUGAAUGAAUAUUCACAAACAAUCCCCGUGGAGUAAGGAAUGCUCUCUCUUACUCUCUUUCCACUUUCUUCUUGAACUUACCUGGAGUGGAUAAGUAGUAGUAUAAGUAAGUAUAAGUAGUAUAAAUACUACCCGACUGAAAAUAUAUAAUUUUACUAAAAGCUCAUACUCAGAAAUUCAUAAUAUUGAAAACUACAGAAUGUGAAGUCCUGCUUCCUAGCAGCAACAAGCUACUGGGACCAUAUGUUUGUAGUAUAUCCCUCUUCUCAUCCAGGAACGAUUCAAGGUGCAGGUUAUGAAGUCUUAUAAACAACUUGGCCCAACAUACUUUAGAGUCUAAGUCUUCUAGAGGUGACUCACAUGGUACUCAGUGACAGGUGGAGCCAGAGCCAAUGAUAGAUGGAGAAUUCCAGUUUUGUCCACAUCCUCCUUCCUGCUGAGUUCUACAAAGCCACGGAACAUAAGAAGAGCCUGCUGGACCAAGGCCAAUGGCCACCCAGAUCCCUGUAGGAGAACCUUAAGUAGGAAUGGAGCACAACAUCACUUUGCCCUCCUGUGAUUUCCAGAAACUGGUAUUCAGAAGCAUUACUGCCUCUUGACUGUGGAGGCAGAGCACAUCCAACAUUGCUAAUAGCCAUGGGUAGCUUUAUGCUCCAUGUGAAAUGAAAAUGAAAUUAAAUACUUUAUUGUUACUUGUACAACUUGUAUACAGUGAGAUUACACGAGCACCCUCCCACUCAGCUCUCUUAGUCUUAAUUCCCCUCGUUUACUGACGCACACCCACCAAACCCGAAAGUCAGUUGCCCUGUUGUUAUCUUUUCAUUCAGCAGCCUAACAGCCCACGGAUAGAAGCUGUUCUUUACCCUGUUGGUGCGACUAAUCAUGCUUCUUUAUCUUCUGCCCGAGGACAGGAGAUCAAGAAAGUGCCGGC